UACAGAGGGUGCGAGCGUUGUCCGGAAUCACUGGGCGUAGAGGGUGCGUAGGUGGCAGGAUAAGCGUGUGGUGAAAGCCCGGGGCUCAACCCCGGGUCUGCCAUGCGAACUGUCUUGCUUGAGCAUAGUAGAGGCAGGUGGAAUUUCGGGUGUAGCGGUGGAAUGCGUAGAGAUCCGAAAGAACACCGGUGGCGAAGGCGGCCUGCUGGGCUAUUGCUGACACUGAGGCACG
RNAcentral lists this ribosomal RNA (232 nucleotides) under uncultured prokaryote. Its description in RNAcentral is "partial 16S ribosomal RNA". It matches the Rfam family "Bacterial small subunit ribosomal RNA", at positions 524 to 755 of the family's 1533-position model. The record is from RNAcentral.